GAGUUUGAUCAUGGCUCAGGAUGAACGCUAGCGGUGUGCCUAAUGCAUGCAAGUCGAACGGGAUCCUUUGGAUUCGUCUGAAGGUGAGAGUGGCGAACGGGUGAGUAACACGUAGGUGACCUGCCCCGGAGAGGGGGACAACCGGUGGAAACGCCGGCUAAUACCCCAGAUGUCUUUGCGCUUAGAAAGCAAUGACUAAAGUUCCGGCGCUCCGGGAGGGGCCUGCGGCCCAUCAGCUUGUUGGGGAAGGAAUGGCUUACCAAGGCAAAGACGGGUAUGGGGCGUGAGAGCGAGUCCCCCCGCACUGGUACUGACACACGGACCAGAUACGUGCGAGAAUCAGCUUCAUAGGACUAUUGCCCGUUGGACAAGAGUCUGAGGCCCCUACACCGCUAGUUGGAUGAAGGGCUUCGGUGUGGUAACUCCUUUUCUGGGGGGUGACAAUCGACGUGACCCCAGGAAUAAGUCUCGGGUAACUACGUGCCCGCAGUCCUGUGUCAGCGCCUGAAUUCAGGCUCACUAAAUUUUAUUCGCCCUUCUUUUGAGUCCGGAGUUCAUUGCGCGGGGCCCAGGGUUGUUCCUUGUCUAGGUCCUGGGUAGUGCCAUGUUCCUCCCUCGAACCUAAUCGCCCUUAUGCUCAGAUCAGCCUCUUUCGCCGGUAUGCGCCUUUUGGCAAUAGAGGACACAGUUCGUUGAGCGGUUGCCUUAACGUUGAGACUUUGCAAAACAUGACGGGCGCUUUUGGUUUAGCCCUUCGAAGUGCUAGACCGUUUGUGCUUUUCGCUCCGGUAUGGAAUAAGUGGAAUGUCACUUUAUAGGCUUAGACUUCCCUAUUAGAUACAUCCUGUCUCUGACCAUUUGCAUUGACAAAGAUGCUCCCUGUAG
Molecule: ribosomal RNA, 885 nt
Filed under: uncultured Chloroflexota bacterium
Lineage: Bacteria; Bacillati; Chloroflexota
Description: bacterial SSU rRNA
Rfam family: Bacterial small subunit ribosomal RNA (bases 1-580)
Source: RNAcentral